GGGUUUAAUUCGAUGAUACGCGAGGGAACCUUACCCGGGCUUGAAUUGCAGAGGAAGGAUUUGGAGACAAUGACGCCCUUCGGGGCCUCUGUGAAGGUGCUGCAUGGUUGUCGUCAGCUCGUGCCGUGAGGUGUCGGCUUAAGUGCCAUAACGAGCGCAACCCCUCUCCUUAGUUGCCAUCAGGUCAAGCUGGGCACUCUGGGGACACUGCCACCGUAAGGUGUGA
Molecule: ribosomal RNA, 226 nt
Filed under: uncultured bacterium
Lineage: Bacteria
Description: partial 16S ribosomal RNA
Rfam family: Bacterial small subunit ribosomal RNA
Source: RNAcentral